GAGGAUUUCCUUCUACCCUUUGUAGCUCAGAGAGCACUGAUGUAUCAUCUCAAACACAAUAAACAUGCUCCUGAAGGCAUAGUUUCUUGUCAUAAUGUUGAAAGUCUUGUCAGAAGGUGUGUCUGAGAUGAUUGUUGAUGAAAUAAAGACGUGGCUAUGAAGAUUGAUUAUUAAGGACUAGUACAAAUGAAUUAUUAAAUUGAAAACAUUUAAAAAUCCUGUGUGUAGAGUUUUUUCCUUUAAGGAGAGAAUACAGUGGGCUUAAAUAUGAAGCUGGAUUUUAACCAUUGGUCUUAAAAAACAAUAACACACAAAUUCUACAUUGACAGUGUAGCAUUUGAAUUGAAAAUGAAGUCCUGCGUUAUUUAGGACUCUCUCCGUGUCUUAACAGAACAUUUUGUCUCCAAAUUGGUGAUUUCUGUUCAACGCUGGGCAAUAUUGUCAGAUAAUUGCUAUGCUGUGAUUGCUUUUCUAUGGUGCUUUUCCCUUUAUUCCUGAUCUUGAAUUUUUAUGGUGCAUUAUUGCUACUGUGAUACAUAGCCGGCAAGUGUAGCCAGAGGCUCAACAGUCCUGUUUGCCCUGAAGGUAGAAUGUGUGUUAGUGUGCAGGCGUGACACUCUCAGUUGAAGACAAACAAGUUGUAAGAGUUUAGAGGUUAAAUUCCUUCUAAGUGUAACUAAUAGGUAUACUUUUAAGCUUGUAAUUAUUAAGCUUGCUUAAGAGAAUUGUAAUAUAAUUGUACUAUUUUUUUCCCCUGUGCCUGGAAUAAAUUAUCUGUGGUCAAUGUCUUUUCCGGUCCUAAGUAUGGUAAUACAGCACCAUAAUAAAAUUUAUGGAGGUGAAUUAUUAGGAUAAAAGCAAACAUGGCUUUGGGCUGGAGAAUGUUAACUCAGUGGUAGAAGCUAGUUCGGCAUCUCCAGCACCAUGUACGCAGAGAUAAAGAUUUCUUCAGGAAAGUGAAUCUUAUAGUUAGGUAGACUACUACCAUAGGGGGCUUCUGUUCAAGUAUUUGGUGAUAGAAAUCUAAAUUAUAGGAAGGCUUAAAUUUAGCAGUUGUCUAUUUUUCCUGCAAGUUCUAUACACACACAAACACACACACACACACACACACACACACUACCCUUUUAUAAGGGAACAGCUAACAUAUUUAGAAGAUUUAAGCUGUAUCUUUGAAAACUGAGUCUUAUUUUAUGGAGAAAUUAAAAAUCCACAGUUCAAGUCAAUGUGAUGAGGGUGGAGGUUUUAUAUGAAAGUGAACCAUGGUGAGUUGUAGAAAGGACUGCUUGCCAUCACUGAAAUGAGCCAUUCUAUACCCUAAAGUUGAGUUUCUCUUGGUGCUGGAAGGUUCUUAUUCUGAAUACUGGGCUGUUGCAUUGCCAAUCCAGCUGUAGCUUGUAAGUAUGAAAGUGGCUGAGCCUCUGCAUAUCCCACCAGACCUGUGGUAUGCUAAUGACCGUGCCACAAACCUUCUGAGGAACUGGGCAGUGUACAAAAUGAUGGUGACUAUACAUGUUGCCUGUAACUAUUACCUGUAAAAGAAUUAUUCAUGGAUUAAUUGCAACUCCUCCAAUUAGAUAAAGAAUAUUUUAGUAGAUCUUUAAGAAUCUAUUUUAGUUUCAGAUUUAUUUCUGAUGAAUAUUGGGUAGUUUAUUAAUAUUUGUCACAGGAACACUUAGCAUAGUCCCCCUUGUUUAAACACUUGAAAUGAGACAAAUGAUACU
RNAcentral lists this long non-coding RNA (1721 nucleotides) under Mus musculus (house mouse). RNAcentral describes it as "long non-coding RNA chr2:78920504-78922225". The record is from RNAcentral. Lineage: Eukaryota; Metazoa; Chordata; Mammalia; Rodentia; Muridae.